This is a non-coding RNA of Prunus mume (Japanese apricot), 432 nucleotides long. The record is from RefSeq and is a predicted model, not a curated record. NCBI's taxonomy places the organism in Eukaryota, Viridiplantae, Streptophyta, Magnoliopsida, Rosales, Rosaceae.
UAAUGGAACGUGAUGCACUUCGAAUGCGAGACGGAGGGCCAUUUGUCUUUGCUCAGGUGAAGCAUGGUCAUGGAGUAGAGGAAAUCGUGAACCACAUAUUACAGGCUUGGGAACUAGCAACAGGGAAGAAGCGCCACUGAUCCAUUUGUGCUGAAUUUGGUUUCAGUAUCUUGUUUCAAAUCUUUGUCUCUCUACAUUUAGGAAUAAAUGUGACUUCAAUUCAGUGUCGUGUCUUUUUUCCUCAACGUGUGUAGAUGUUUGACACUAGAUUCCACUGUUUAGUGUCUCACUGUUGGAACUUUUUGGCAUUCAUGCUUCAGUCCAGUUAUAAAUGGAACAAGAAAUGCUCCCUUGCUACCAUGUGUAUCGGUUGUAUGCCUUAAAACCUUGACUUUAUUGAGCAAAAUAAAUUUCACCAUUGACUUGAAGCUA